GUGCCAGCCGCCGCGGUAAUACGAGUGGUGCGAGCGUUAAUCGGAAUUACUGGGCUUAAAGGGUGCGCAGGCGGGUCCGCAAGCAUUCUGUGAAAUCCCCCGGCUCAACCGGGGAACUGCAGGGUGGACUGCGGGUCUUGAGAAAGGUAGGGGCCGACGGAACGAUCGGUGGAGCGGUGAAAUGCGUAGAUAUCGAUCGGAACGCCAAUGGUGAAGACAGUCGGCUGGGCCUUUUCUGACGCUCAUGCACGAAAGCGUGGGGAGCAAACAGGAUUAGAUACCCUCGUAGUCC
This 292-nucleotide ribosomal RNA is filed under the name uncultured bacterium. RNAcentral's name for it is "partial 16S ribosomal RNA". It matches the Rfam family "Bacterial small subunit ribosomal RNA", at positions 505 to 796 of the family's 1533-position model. The record is from RNAcentral.